AUUGAACGCUGGCGGAAUGCUUUACACAUGCAAGUCGAACGGCAGCACGGGGCAACCUGGUGGCGAGUGGCGAACGGGUGAGUAAUACAUCGGAACGUGCCCAAUCGUGGGGGAUAACGUAGCGAAAGCUACGCUAAUACCGCAUACGAUCUACGGAUGAAAGCGGGGGAUCGCAAGACCUCGCGCGAAUGGAGCGGCCGAUGGCAGAUUAGGUAGUUGGUGGGGUAAAGGCUCACCAAGCCUGCGAUCUGUAGCUGGUCUGAGAGGACGACCAGCCACACUGGAACUGAGACACGGUCCAGACUCCUACGGGAGGCAGCAGUGGGGAAUUUUGGACAAUGGGCGCAAGCCUGAUCCAGCCAUUCCGCGUGCAGGAUGAAGGCCCUCGGGUUGUAAACUGCUUUUGUACGGACGAAAAGGCUUUCUCUAAUACAGGGGGCUCAUGACGGUACCGUAAGAAUAAGCACCGGCUAACUACGUGCCAGCAGCCGCGGUAAA
This 498-nucleotide ribosomal RNA is filed under the name uncultured bacterium. Its description in RNAcentral is "bacterial SSU rRNA". It matches the Rfam family "Bacterial small subunit ribosomal RNA", at positions 30 to 524 of the family's 1533-position model. The record is from RNAcentral.